GUCCAGUUGUCGAGCUCUAACCAAUUGAGCUACAGAGUCCAGUUGUCGAGCUCUAACCAACUGAGCUACAGAGUCCAGUUGUCAAGCUCUAACCAACUGAGCUACGGAGAGACAGUUGUCGAGCUCUAACCAACUGAGCUACAGAGUCCAGUUGUCGAGCUCUAACCAACUGAGCUACAGAGUCCAGUUGUCGAGCUCUAACCAACUGAGCUACAGAGUCCAGUUGUCAAGCUCUAACCAACUGCGCUACAGAGAGACAGUUGUCGAGCUCUAACCAACUGAACUACAGAGUCCAGUUGUCGAGCUCUAACCAACUGAGCUACAGAGUCCAGUUGUCGAGCUCUAACCAACUGAACUACAGAGUCCAGUUGUCAAGCUCUAACCAACUGAACUACAGAGUCCAGUUGUCGAGCUCUAACCA
This 421-nucleotide long non-coding RNA is filed under the name Paramuricea clavata. The record is from RNAcentral. Lineage: Eukaryota; Metazoa; Cnidaria; Anthozoa; Malacalcyonacea; Plexauridae.